RNAcentral lists this ribosomal RNA (575 nucleotides) under Aspergillus spinosus. RNAcentral describes it as "eukaryotic LSU rRNA". It matches the Rfam family "Eukaryotic large subunit ribosomal RNA", at positions 58 to 648 of the family's 3401-position model. Lineage: Eukaryota; Fungi; Ascomycota; Eurotiomycetes; Eurotiales; Aspergillaceae. The record is from RNAcentral.
AAAGAAACCAACAGGGAUUGCCUCAGUAACGGCGAGUGAAGCGGCAAGAGCUCAAAUUUGAAAGCUGGCCCCUUCGGGGUCCGCGUUGUAAUUUGCAGAGGAUGCUUCGGGUGCAGCCCCCGUCUAAGUGCCCUGGAACGGGCCGUCAUAGAGGGUGAGAAUCCCGUCUGGGACGGGGUGUCUGCGUCCGUGUGAAGCUCCUUCGACGAGUCGAGUUGUUUGGGAAUGCAGCUCUAAAUGGGUGGUAAAUUUCAUCUAAAGCUAAAUACUGGCCGGAGACCGAUAGCGCACAAGUAGAGUGAUCGAAAGAUGAAAAGCACUUUGAAAAGAGAGUUAAACAGCACGUGAAAUUGUUGAAAGGGAAGCGUUUGCGACCAGACUCGCCCGCGGGGUUCAGCCGGCAUUCGUGCCGGUGUACUUCCCCGUGGGCGGGCCAGCGUCGGUUUGGGCGGCCGGUCAAAGGCCCUCGGAAUGUAUCACCUCUCGGGGUGUCUUAUAGCCGAGGGUGCAAUGCGGCCUGCCCGGACCGAGGAACGCGCUUCGGCUCGGACGCUGGCGUAAUGGUCGUAAAUGAC